Molecule: transfer RNA, 74 nt
Filed under: Deltaproteobacteria bacterium
Lineage: Bacteria; Pseudomonadati; Myxococcota; Myxococcia
Description: tRNA-Ala
Rfam family: tRNA
About the family: Transfer RNA (tRNA) molecules are approximately 80 nucleotides in length. Their secondary structure includes four short double-helical elements and three loops (D, anti-codon, and T loops).
Source: RNAcentral
GGGCGUGUCAUCUAAUGGGAAGAUUCUGUCCUCGCAAGGCAGCCAUGAGGGUUCGACUCCCUCCUCGUCCACCA